AACUUUCGGCAAUGGAUCUCUUGGCUCUCGCAUCGAUGAAGAACGCAGCGAAAUGCGAUAAGUAAUGUGUAUUGCAGAAUUCAGUGAAUCAUCGAAUCUUUGAACGCACCUUGCGCCCUUUGGCUAUCCUGAAGGGCAUGCCUGUUUGUGCAUCAUAAACAUCUCAACUCUCUCGGUUUCCUGUGAUGAGAUUGGACUUUGGGGGUCUUGUUGGCUUGUGUUCAGCUCCCCUCAAAUCUAUCAGCUUCCCAGUGUUUGGCAGCAUCACAGGUGUGAUAAAUAUCUACGCUUGUGGUUCUUUGCCAGGUCUGUCCUCACCUUGUAGAGGGCUCGCUGGAGCUCAUAGUUGUCUCUCCUUGGUGGAGACAGUUGUUUGAAGUUUGGUCUCAAAUCAGGUAGGAUUACCCGCUGAACUUAAGCAUAUCAAUAAGCGGAGGCU
This 439-nucleotide unclassified non-coding RNA is filed under the name uncultured Thelephoraceae. RNAcentral describes it as "sequence contains ITS2". The stretch from base 1 to 155 matches the Rfam family "5.8S ribosomal RNA". The record is from RNAcentral. Lineage: Eukaryota; Fungi; Basidiomycota; Agaricomycetes; Thelephorales; Thelephoraceae.